MicroRNA precursor from Sorghum bicolor (sorghum), 109 nucleotides. It matches the Rfam family "MIR5565 microRNA precursor family". The record is from Rfam. Lineage: Eukaryota; Viridiplantae; Streptophyta; Magnoliopsida; Poales; Poaceae.
GUUGUCGGAUUUUCUUUAAUCCAUGUGUGUUGGUGUGGAUUGGGGUGGAAUUUAGUUCAAGUUCCACUCCAAUCCACCUCAAUACAUGUGGAUUGAUGUGAAUCCGACU